This 71-nucleotide ribosomal RNA is filed under the name Acinetobacter baumannii 940793. Lineage: Bacteria; Pseudomonadati; Pseudomonadota; Gammaproteobacteria; Moraxellales; Moraxellaceae. RNAcentral also lists the same sequence under 1 other name. The record is from RNAcentral.
UGGCGACCAUAGCAAGAGUGAACCACCUGAUCCCUUCCCGAACUCAGAAGUGAAACCUCUUAGCGCUGAUG